Molecule: non-coding RNA, 1658 nt
Organism: Phascolarctos cinereus (koala)
Lineage: Eukaryota; Metazoa; Chordata; Mammalia; Diprotodontia; Phascolarctidae
Source: RefSeq, a predicted model, not a curated record
AAUUUUUAAUUAAAUUUAUUUUCUCUCCCAUCGCCUCACAAAACAAACCCCUCUUUUUUCUAACACACAGCCACAGAAAUAAAAUUCUCGUAUUGACCACGUCCAAAGCCUAUCAGUCUCCCUCUGCACCCCGAGUCACCGACUCUCGGGCAGGAGGUGGGUGGCACACGCCAUCCUCCGUCCUCGGCAGUCCAGGCUGGUCAUUGUGUCGUUCAGAAUGGUCCGGUUGUUUGUUGUCUAUACGUUGUUCUCCUGGUUCCGGUCCUUUCGCUCGGCGUCGGGUCCUAGGAGCGAAAGAACCAGUCCUGAUAUUCUCCUUCUGUCUCCGAUGAGCAGCUUGUACUUCUCGGCCAGAGGUUUAUCGGGUGUGCCUCUGGAGAAGGAGAAGGGGCCCUCCACAGGCUGGGGGUGGAUGCGUUGGGGGUGGGUGGGGAAUGUGUCUGCGCCAUCUCUGUUUCGGCUCCUCUUCUAGCCUCUAAUGACUCAGCAGACUGGUCAUUCUUCUGCCUUGCAGAAUUACAAUAAUGGAGUGGGGAAGGAAGAAAAGGGCAAUCUCAUUUUUUUCUGAGUUUCUUUUCCAAAGAACAGGCAGCAAGCGGUUGCCAAGAGCGUCUGUGCUAGUCCUAGACAGUGAAUCCUUUCCCUGGACUCAGAGCCUGGGCUCUGGUUUCAGGCCUUAAUAAAGAAUCCAGUGAAGCUGGGACACCUUUGGCCAAGGAGGGGCAGAGCUUUUCUCUGGUUAGCAGGCUACAAGAUGCGUUCCUGAUGCGUAGCCCCAGCCCUGGCUUCCGUGGAAGCCGGGGUGCAGGGGAGGUCCCUGGAACUGGAGAAACAGCAGCGAGUGGCCUGAUUCAGUACUGGCUGGGGGCCACUGCUGUUGCUGGCGGUGGCAGGAGAAUUUUUCCAUGCAGAGGAAGAGGAAAAAUCAGAUGAGGUUUCCCACAGGCAUGGGCCAUUUUUAUGCAGGCUGGUCGGGUCCUGGCAUUUCCCAGCAGAAUCACACAGUGCCCUCGAGAGAUGUCUUCAAGCAAAGGAUGGGAAUGACUUCUUGAGUGUGUUUAUCAGGGGCCGCACAUGCCAGAGACAGAACGCCAUCCGGGCCCUGCUGCCUCUUUAAGGCACAAAACUGCCAGUUACGUCCUUGUCUGGGAGUACAGAAAGAAACAGCACGAGAUCGGGGGAGAUUAUCAGGAACACAAAAACAUUUCACAAAACCACAGAAUCAAAGACUGCAUGAGACCUCACCAGCCAUCAAAUUCAGCUUCUGCCUGACCAAGAAUCCCUGCUGCAACGUACCAGUAUGGAAUCUGCCAGGCUUUUCUGGAGGACAGCUAUCGAGGGCAAUCUCACCAGCAGCCUGAGAUAGCCAGUUCCCCCUCUGGGCAGCUUUAGCUGCUGGAAAGGUUUUUCUGGAAUCAGAACUGAAAUUUGCCUCAUUGCCAGUCUAACCGCUAUUCCCAGUUUUGCCUUCUUGUACUCAGCAGAGGAAGACUCAUUUCUCUUCCGCAUGACGGUCCUUCAGCUAUACACAUACCUCCCUCAUACGGCUUGUUCUCAAUAGCCUUCACCAUCUUGGUUCUCCUCCUCUGGGCACCCUCCUAGCUUAUCAAUGUGUUCUAUGCAGCCAAACAGAAAAUUUGUACAGGUUUGGGUUCUGG